Molecule: long non-coding RNA, 8394 nt
Filed under: Sarcophilus harrisii (Tasmanian devil)
Lineage: Eukaryota; Metazoa; Chordata; Mammalia; Dasyuromorphia; Dasyuridae
Description: lncRNA (ENSSHAG00000025979.1)
Source: RNAcentral
GGGGGUGGGGAUAGUUCCAAAUUGCUUUCCAGAGUAGCUAGAUGAAUUCACGUCACCAACAGUGAACACUUAGUAUGCCUAGUUUCCUGCAUUAUUGUAAAAUGUCAUCUUAAUUGGUCUAAUAGAUGUGAGGUAGAACCUCAAAUUUGCUUUAAUUUGCAAUUUGCUAUUAAUGACUUAAGACUAUUUUGUUCAUGAUUGAUAUUUGGAAUUCAUGCUUUGAAAACUUCCUAUUCAUAUCAUUUUAUCUAUUGGGGACUACUUUUAGUAUUAUAAAUCUGACUUAGUUUCUUAUAUACCUUGGUUAUGAUACAGAGAAAUUUGUUGAAGAUAUAUUUCCACUUUCCUUUCUAAUUUUUACAUUAGGCAUGUACAAAAUCUUAAACUUUAUGUAAUGAAAACUGCCUAUUUUAUUUUGUCUAUUUAGAUAUGAAAUUUUCUAUGCAAGAGCUGAAUGGUAAUUUCUUCCUUAGUUGUCUGUUUCUAAUUUGACCUUUUAUAUGUGAAUCAUAUAUCUAUUUGGAGCUUUAUUACAGUAAGAGGUGUUGGUCUAAACAUAAUUUUUGUGGGUUUGAUUCAACAUAAGAACUUUCCUACAAAUGGAAAUAUUAAAAAGUAAUGCACCAUUUCAUUAAUACUGUGUUCUCUUUUUGGGAAGUACUUAAAUAUUCAAGGAAUUUUUGUAAUGAACAGGCCAGACUACUUGGUCUUUAAAGCAGAAUGUAAGCUCCUUUAGGGUAAGAAUGUUUUAAGAUUUUUUUUUUGUUGUUGUUUUUGGAUUAGUGCUACACAUAGAGCAGAUGGUAGAUAAAAAUGUUUGUUGAAUAAAUUAAACUCUCUCCUAACCACAAAAGAGCCUGUACCAUUGAGACAAGAUUAUUAUGAACAGCUACCAGUUUUGUCUCUUCCCAGUUCUCCUUCCUUCCUGUGUGUCUGGGCUUUCUUGGGAUUUUCCCAAAACUCAGGGUAAUUGGCAGGGGGAUCAAAGAAUAAAGUGUCUAUCCUAGGCUCAAAAUAGUUUAGUGAGAUGUGCUGAGUGUCAGGAGAGCAUCCUGCAAGGAAAAGAUACAUGGGAACUCAAUUUUCCACCUUGGAAAUGAGAGGGCCGGGAACUUUGAGAUAAGCAGGCUUCUUCAUCACACCUGAGGCGCCCUUUUGUGUUAACUAAUUCAGGGAGUAAAAAGGCUUUGUACUUACUGGAAGGGCCAUAGGACUUUCCCAAAGAAGGGAAACAAAUUAUAGGAGAAAUAUUAACCACAGACUACUGAGAAGUUCUUAGAUCCAAGGUGUUCCUGUGCCAAGCUUAGAGGUAUAGAAACACAAGUAGAUGGAGCAGUGAGAUAAAAGUGGGAGUAAAAAUUUCUUGACCAAGUCCAGAGCUUGUGUCAGGGUAGAAGUUGUGGAAGAACCAGGGAGCAAAUCCAAACCUCAGCCUUCCCUAGUAUUUUGAGUGAUGCGGAUUGUGUAGGUUAGGUGGAGAAUGUUAACUCCAAUAACCCUAUUUGUGAAGGAAUCAAUUGACUAUAUUUGUUUCACAGAUUUUGCUUAGGAUAUCAAAGAUUGGAUCUGGUCCCUGGGAGUUCAGAUAUUGUCGGGGGUAAACCCUGAAACCAUGUCCCCUUUAACCUGUAAAAGAAGGGAGUUUUGGGGUCUCAGGCUCUCCCCUGGAAAGAGCAUACCUUUCCAAGACAAGCCCUUCCCAAGUAAGUGGUUUCAUUCAAUUGGAGAUCUUGGUCAAAUUACCCUCCAUUGAAACUCAGAUCUUUUGGGGGUGGCCUGGAUCCCCUUCAGGGAGUUUCCAGACUCUGGGGAAAGCCUUUAAACUCCCAUUUAAGUGAUUUUAUUCAAUUAAAGAUCUAAGCCCCAGGCACUGACAACUUUGAAGGAAUUCAAUUUUGAAUGUAAGUCUGAGCCUCAGAGGGCUAAUAAAAGACAACUAUGAACUCGGAAUCUUUGCAGAAGUUCAAAACAAGAUUAUGCUUGCUAAGGGAGUUCUCUCCUUGGCAAAGAUGCUUGCCAGGACUUUUGCCCACUGGGAAGAUAUUCUCUUCUCAGGUGUUAACCUUUGCCAUUUUCCUAAUAGGACCUUCCCACUAAGAAGUCUGUCUUCCUAGCAAAGCUGGCUUCUCAGUGCCAAUAAAAUUCCCUUUUGCCAUACAGUUUUUUGGGUUUCCAAAUUCUUUUGUAUUGGACCUGCGCUGACCAGAGGGGAUUCCCCACCCCAAUUCUCUCACCUCUUCAUUACCACUAGCCUUAUCAUUUGAACAUCAUCAAUAUAAGCUUGUAAUAGUUACCUGUUUCCUGAAAUCUUAUAAUUCCAUCAUUAGUAAGAUAAGUUUAGUAAUGUAGCUCUAAUUUGCCAGACAGAAGUAUAUUUGGAUAGUUUAACUCUACAACUACAUUUUGUUUUCUACAACUACAUUUUGUUUCACUAUGUUAGGCUGAAGCACAAAUCAAACUUAAGCAUGUUCAAAUUUCAUCAAUUUCAUUAACCACUAAAAAAGGUUUUGACAAUCAAAUGAAAAAAUACAAAGUAUUUCAUAGGAUCAUAGAUUUAGAGCUAGAAGGGAACUUGGAAGUCAUCUUGAGCAGAUGAAGCAAAAGCUUUCAGUUCCUUUAGUCUCCCUUAAUUAUUAUUAACCCUCAUGUACAUGGCAUCCACUAAUCAUAAUUCUGUCAGUCUUGGUUGAAAUUUAAAAACAUGACAACAACAAAAAAAGGAAACAUGAAUUAUAAUAGAAGGGUUUGUUCCACAUGAAGAUAAUAAAUUCAGAGUUUAACACCAUAGUAUUAAAUAGACCCCAAAAGGAUCUUGGAGAUGGUCUAGUCCUAUCCCUUUAAAACCCAGCAAGGUUAAAUAGUAAACCUAAGGUCCUAGAGGUGAUUCCAAGUCCCAGGUUCUUUUCACUAUACCACAGUACUCAAAGUGUAAUUAUAAUCAAUCAAUACCUGGUACAUGUCAAGCUAGUAUUCUGUUAAAUCAACGGUAGUUCUAGGUCUAGCAUUUCAAUGUAGUGAUUCCAAGUCCUCCUACUCAAGCCAAGAUUCCAUAACUGGGCCUGAGUUUUAUUUUGUUUUUUGCAAUUAUGAUAAUUUUUGGUUUCUUAAGCUCUGCACAACGAUGUCUCUUUUCAUGUCCUCAGGUUUUCAGUUAUCCAUUGAAAGAGAAAGUCAGGUUAAGUAGGGUUAGAAGGUGGGUAUGGCAAUCAUGCAUAGGCAACAUGGCUUUCGUGGUUUCCCUCCUUGUGCCCCCACCCCCAGUCCAAGUGUUUUUUUAAAGGGACCAGAGUGACCCAAAGGGAAGAUUCUGACUAGAUGUAAGGAUCCAUGAGUAAAAGAUUGCUGGUCCAUUGCGUAGUAAAAUAAUAUUGACUGCCCUUAAGAAACCAUUACAAGAAACAAGAUAAAGUUAUUUCCAAUGCAUAAAAAAAUUUAUAUAUACAAAACUAAAAAACUGAGACUUCUUUUAUGAAACUGCAGGUAGACAAAGCAGUUGAGGCUUAGAAACCAUCAUUCAAGUUUCCAAACAAGAGUGUGUAAGGAUACAUCUGCCAGUAAGACAAACUAUUCUAUAAAAAGAAUUUUUCUUAGAUUAGUUGUCAAAAGCCCAUUUCCUGGUAAAAAACCAUAACUGUUAUUACACAUAAACUAGUUAUACAUGUCACUACCUGGCACAGAAAAUCAAGCAGUCUUACAACACUUAAUAGAUAUAGUCAAAUAGCUAUUCAAGUAAUUACAAAAUUUGCUUACCAACCAAACCUGUGUUAAUCUUUUAUUUCCUGUAGAUUCAGCUACAUUAACUCACCCUUCCUGCUUGUUGACUUUUACAUUCCUUUCACUUAUGUAUUGAGAGACCAGCCAUUGUGAGAACUCUAAAUCCCCCCCCCCAAAUAAAUGUUCAGCAACAAUUACUUGGGAAAAAUAACAUUCUUUAGUGAGAUCAUUUCCUUCUAAUCCAUUUUAAGGCAAAAUGUGUCAAUGAGUGUAUAAUUUUUAAAAAUUUCUUUCAUAUAGAAAGGGAUCUUAACCCAAAUUUGCCGGUUAGCAAAAGACUUUUGCCUUUAAAAAAAAAAAAAAAGAAGUAGGUAUUCAAGACUUGCAUAAAAAUAAUUAAGAGGGGCAUCAUAGAAUAAUGAAAAAAAUUGGGUCUGGAAUAAUAGGCUUAGAGAUGGUAGGGAGUAUGGAGAUCUUCAAUCCUCUCAUUAGGGAAAAAAUUAAGGACCAGAUAAAUUAGGGGUAAAAUAGCACUAAACCAACAAGGGAACUCAUUCCAGAUCGGACUCACUUCUUUAAUAAAAAAAAGUCUUUAGUUCAUCUGAAACGUUAGGUUUGCAACCAGCCGAGGGCACAAGAGCAAAAACUAAGGCGGAGGGUCCGAGGCGGAAUUGGAAAACGCUUGUCCCAGCGCAGGGGAUGUUCUCGCCUCCCCGGGCGAGACUCUGCAUCGCAGGCAGUACGCGGCGUAGAAGAUCGCGCCCUCUCUCAAAAUCCCUUCCAGGAGCCCGGGGCGCCCGGGGCUUCCGGGACCGGAUGUCUCCCCUCCAGAAGACCCUGCCGGGACGGGCUCUGCCGAGGGUCAGCCCGCCACGAAGCCUGGGCAGCCGCUUCUCGGCCCGGGUCUUUGUUCCAGCCUCGAGCCCGGCUUCUCCCACCCCGGGGUACCCCGGAAUACUAGGGCCUACUCCACCCCUCCCAAGGCCGCGCCUCUCGUUCCAGAAGCGCUGGGUCCGAGGAAACAAAGCCAGCCCCGAGGGUCCCGUUCCAGCCGCCGCCGCUUCCCCUCCGCGCGGCUCGGGCCCUGGGGAAAGCCGGCGGCCUCUUCCCCUUCCCCCAGUCCCGGCACCUCCACCUCGACCGGAGGAAGCGGCUAAAAGGAAAAAGGGCACGCAAACGGCCCGAACCCGGAAAUCACCCAGCCGGCUUCCCCCUCAUUGACCUCGUUCCUGAGGUCGUGGCCCCGCGUGGCCGCCGAGGAGGCCGGAAGUGAACCCUGCGCGCCGGCACCGGAGGCCCUUCUAGCCCUCUAGGCCCCUCGGGUUCCCAGUCCGGUCCCAGCCUCCGCGUCCCCGCCCUUGCUCAACUCUAUGGCCGAGCGGAAGGAGCUCGGGCUUCCUUCUUCCCGUUUCCGGUCGAUUGGCUGAGUCUAGGGAAGCUGGAGUCCCGCAAAGAAGUGUAAAACCUCAAGGUUCUCAACAGUGUCAGGAAUGGUUCUGCUGUAACAUCUUUGGAAAGGAUUUUUCCAAGGACAGCUACGGAGAUGAUUGAUGUAAAAGCUUGGGCUGAGUAUGUUGUGGAGUGGGCUGCAAAGGAUCCAUAUGGCUUUCUUACCACAGUGAUUUUGGCUCUGACUCCACUUUUUCUAGCAAGUGCAGUACUGUCUUGGAAACUGGCAAAAAUGAUUGAGGCCAGGGAAAAGGAGCAGAAGAAGAAACAGAGACGUCAAGAAAAUAUUGCAAAAGCCAAACGACUAAAGAAGGAUUGAGGAAAAAAUUAAGAAGAAAAUCUUUCUCAUUUAAAGAAUCCACAGUUAAAGAAAAAUUAUAUAAAAUGAUGCACUUCUUGAAGAAACACUAGGGUGCUUUUGUUGUAUUUUAUAACAGUAUUAUCCAACUAUUUGACCAUGUGAAAAAAUUGAAAUUCUGUAACUAUGUUAUAAUUUUUCAGCUUGGAUACAGAAACUUGUUGGUGCCUGUCAACUGACAUUUAUGUUGCAAAUUUCUUUGAACUCAUUUUGCUGUUGCUUUUUGGUAGCCCCUGUGCUAAAGUGAAUCUGUGUUAGGGAAGAAAAUGUCUUAAGAUGUGAUUUGUUGUCUACUGGUAGUUUUAAGUUUGGGGUCCUGUUUAUGGAUAAAGAUUUGAAAUAUUGAAAAUUAAGAUUUUUUUUCUUCACUGGGGGGGGACAGGAAAAAUAUUAAGACUUUUUUUUUCUUAAACAGUUUUCUUGACAUUUGGAUGGAUUUAUGAUUCAUUGAGUUGAAUAAUUUGCUCCACUAGGAUAUAUCACUUGACUUGCAUGUUUUUCUCAUCCUAUGCAAUUGUUGAUGUCAUUCCAUAAAUCUUUCAGAGAAGCCACCCGAUAAUGGUAUAGCUGUAUUCCUCUAGUUCUUUUAAUAUUGGUGCUUGGGAGAACUAAUGUAGACUUGGGCUAUCUGUUUUGUUUUAUUCACAAUAUUAAACCAGGCUACCUCUCUUUCUGAUCAUGCAUGUCUUUAUGAUACUUUAUGCUAUCCUAUAGAUUUUAUUCACAUUUGGUUUUUUUGAUGUGGAAUCAUUUCUGGGAACAAAAGCAAAUCUUGAUGAAGUAACAGCUCUGCAUUGUUAAUGUCAUCUAUACUUGGAAGGUAAUAAUAAUGUAAUUUGUAAGACAUUUCAUAUUUGAUUAAUUUUAAUAUACUGUGGAAUUGUUCCCUGCUUACUUUUUUUUGACAGCAUGUUAUAUAUUGAGCAAAUAGAGUUAUGUGCAGUUAUAAAGACUUCUGUCUUCCGUAGGAAUCAUCUGCAAAAAAGAAUUUAGGGUUGCUAUAAAUAUGCUAAACUUAAUACUAUCUGGCUUAUUCAUGCUCAUAUUGUACAGAAGAGUGAAAUGGUUAAAAAAAAGUUUUGUUAGCUGAUUCUUCUAAUACAUAUUUUUUAAUCCAUUAUUUCAUUUUAACCUAUGUGGUUAAUCUAUGUCAGGUGACUCCAUGUUACAAGUAAGUUUCUUGAGGCAUUUUAAAAACUAGUCCUAAAGACACAAAACCUAUUUUUAUUUGAUGUAUUUGGAUAAAAAGACAAUAAGGUAUGUAAAUUAAAUUGGAAUGAAAAUAGGUUGAUUGUUUUUAAAUUUCAAGAAAAAGGCUUUUUAAAAAAAAGUCCUUUCUUUUGUGAAAAAUAAUUGUCUAAUUAAAAUUUCAUGUAUGCUUUUUAUGACCUAGUCCAUUAUUAAAUUUUAAUGGCUAUGAUCAUUUUUUCCUUUGAAAUAAAUCUAAAAUUUUUUAAGUGUAUUAAUCUAGUAACUAUAAUUUAAGAAAUAAAUUAGUUAUAAAUAAAUUUGAUACUUUUUUAAGAUGUUGAUUGUCUUCAUAUUUAUUGAGUGUAAUGUUUAUUGUUUUUAAUCAAAAUACCACACAAAUUUCAUCAAAAAAAGAAAUCUGUGUGAAAAUUGACUACAUUUCUGAGAAUGGUAUUGACCAUUAUAAUCACUGAACUUCCUAGGAAGUAACAUUUAUACUACUUAGCCACCUUUUAUAGUGAUGUGUGAAAUCAUUUUUUAAAACUAUCAAAGAAUAACUUCAUUUUUUUACCUUGUAAUUGAUACUCAUAUUGAGUGGCAUACUUCAUCAUAUUUUGUUAGCACUAUCUUUCAUAGAGAACUGACAUGUAGACCUUUAGGAGGGCAUAUACUUUGAGUUUUUGUUAGUAGUGCUUUCUGCUUCUCUUUACACUAUACAAGUCAUAAGUUCUUUAUUGCUACAAGAAUCUUUAUAAUGUUAAUGAACACUAUUAGUACUUGAACAUUUUUUCACAGCAGGAUUUAGGGUUUUUUGGUUUUAUUUCUUUCUUUUGCAAGAAUACAUGGAUAUUAGUCUUUCUGGUCAGUAUUUUCCACUGUCUUCCCAGUUGAAACAAACAAGUAAUAAAUUCCAACUCUGUUAUUCCUGUGUUUGAAAUUUGUGCUCUCAAGUUAAUGAUCUAUACCAGAUAUUUAUCUCUUUUCAUUUAAUUGUGUCUAGACUUAUGAUAUCUUCUGUGAAAAUAAGUUAAAACUAUAAAGUACUAGUCAAUUACUAAAAAUAAAGUUUUUGAUGUAUCAUUUAAAACUGAGCCACAUUGUAGCUCCAAGUAUUUUCUUGAGAAUUCUCAAUAAACAAAUAUUUACUCUGCAUCUGUUCAGUGUGCAAGAUCAACCUUGAAGCUAGAGAAGCAAAGAAAAAGUGAAAAAUUCUUGUCAUCGAGAAGUUCACAUAUUGUAUGAUAAUGUACAUGUAAAUAUAGGGUAAUUUGAGAAAUUAAUUGAGGUGCCAGGUGAGAUUUUCUGAGUGAGUUGGAAAAAAAUUAAAAAUUCCUAGAAGCAGAAGUAAAGAAAGAAUACAUUGCUAUCAAGGACACGGAUGGGAAUUAUAGGUGGAAUUCCAGGUUCAGGAGAGCUAGUCGACCAGUUUGACUAGAAUGUGUAACGUGUGUGUAAAAUAAGGAAAUACAAUUUAGCACUCUGGAUUGUGGACAGCUUUAAAGGCCAGGCAAUAGGAAGCCACUAUAAUGAGUACAUGAAUGGUAUUCUCAUUAGGCCUUGAGUUAUUUUGACAUCUAUGUAGCAGAAGGAAGAGAAUGAAAGAGCAAUUUGAAGGUUAUUAAAAUCAGGGUAGUGACUUUGUGAAUGCAAAGAGGAAUGGAUAGACAAGGCAGAAUAAAUGG